GACGAACGCUGGCGGCGUGCUUAACACAUGCAAGUCGAACGGAAAGGCCCUGCUUGCGUGGUGUGCUCGAGUGGCGAACGGGUGAGUAACACGUGAGUAACCUGCCCUUGACUUUGGGAUAACUUCAGGAAACUGGGGCUACUACCGGAUAGCAGCUCCUGCUGCGUGGUGGGGGUUGGAAAGUUUCGGCGGUUGGGGAUGGACUCGCGGAUUAUCAGUUUGUUGGUGGGGUAGUGGCUGACCAAGGCUUGGACGGAUAGCCGGCCUGAGAGUGUGAACGGCGACAUUGGGACUACGAUACGGGCCAGACUCCUACGGGAGGCAGCGGUGGGGAGUAUUGCACAGUGGGCGGAAGCCUGAUGCAGCGACGCCGCGUUCGGGAUGACGGCCUGCGGGUUGUAAACCGCUUUCGCCUGUGACGAAGCGUGAGUGACGGUAAUGGGAGAAGAAGCACCGGCUAACUACGUG
RNAcentral lists this ribosomal RNA (468 nucleotides) under uncultured bacterium. RNAcentral describes it as "partial 16S ribosomal RNA". It matches the Rfam family "Bacterial small subunit ribosomal RNA", at positions 28 to 507 of the family's 1533-position model. The record is from RNAcentral.